RNA transcript from Zalophus californianus (California sea lion), 2435 nucleotides. It is a transcript of the gene named chromosome 9 C12orf40 homolog, with no coding region annotated. The transcript is spliced from 18 exons. Lineage: Eukaryota; Metazoa; Chordata; Mammalia; Carnivora; Otariidae. The record is from RefSeq and is a predicted model, not a curated record.
AUGAAGGUUUGGCUCGUCACUCCAGUCCCACAACAUUAUUUGAUUCCUACAUGGAAGGAAGAAAAUGUAUGGGUGUUUCAUGACCUGAGAUUCAGAGUGUCUGGCAAGGAGAUGGGCCAUUAUAAUGCGGUAUUGCACCAGAACCCAGAGAAGAAGACCCGGACUUUGCAGGGAAGUACCAGGGUUCUGAUGAAGCAGGAAAGGAGAAAGCAAAAGGAAUAUUUUGAAAAGAAAAGGUUAAAAUCAAAAAUGAAGUUACUGGGAGUUUCAUCCCCUGUCAAAAAUUCCACUGUCAGUUUAGACCUCCUUAACCUAUAUAUGGUAAAUCACAUAUCUUGCCAGAAGAAAACACCUGAAACUGUGAGAAAACCAAUCCACGUGAAUAUGCAUAGAGACAUAAAAAUGCCCCUAAGAAAGCAUAAUUUAGAACUUCCAAUGUCACCUCACUGUGUACCAUCUAACCUCCGCAUUGAUGAUAUAGACAACAGACUAGGCAGCAAGAAAGAACUUGCCCCAGUUCAGCUCAGUGAAGUUAAUUAUUCUAAUUCCUUGGUUUCCAAAUUAAAUGAAAAUCAAGAUGCUCUCAGUCCAACAUAUAAAACAGGACAAUUUAGGUCAUUAUUCAAAAGAUUAAACAGUCCAGGCAGUAGGAAUUUCCUUACUGGAAGACCUGUUGUGGAUAUGGGUGAAGAAUGUGGAAGCAUGGAUGAGCAAAGACAGUCAGACUUCAUUACUGAAAAACAGUCAGUACAACAUAUUUGGGGAGAAAAUAGGAGAGAGCUUUCAAAUUUUUUUGAAAGUGUGAACCAGCCAAAAGCCAGCCUUUUAUCAGAGAAUUGUAACUCUUUUAUUAGUGAAAAUGUCAUCAAUUUAUUAAGCAUAGAUCAACAGAGGAUAAAGAAACCCUUUGACAAGUGUGGUUAUGACAGUAUGGGAGAUAUUUGUGCAAUCACAAGUUCUGAUAAAAAUGAUUCAACUGAUAGAUGCGUUAGAAGAAUUUUUACAGAUCCAGUGUUGGCUCUUAGUAAUUCUACUUUUAAUAAAACAAGUUAUCCAGAAAAGUGUCAGCCAGACAAGAGGUAUCAAAAAGAGUACCACAAUAAUGAUAGAAAUACUUUUAGUACAUCUUUUGAAAAGAAUUGUUCUGCAGCCAGCUUUGAAAAAAAAGGAAAAUUUAAAAGUGAUUACCAAGAGAAGACACCACAGAAUGGAGGCCAGAAAUAUCCAGUGAAUCAUAUGGGUAAUAGCUGUUUGGAAGAAUUGCAUUCUAAGCAAUCGUGGGACUUAGGAUUUGGUGAGAUUCUGAUGGAAGAAGGAGGAACCUGUUCUUUAAAAGACAGACCAUCAUCUGCUAAGAAAAUCUGUCAGUAUCUUGAUUCUUCACAGAGUAGUCAGUCUACCAGUUACUCUCCAAGGCCAACAGACAGUUGCUUCAGUUCUAGUUCAGAGAUGCCAUCUGAAGAUGAAGAUCAAAUAUUACAGCAAAUUGAAGAAUCAAAUAGGAGGUCCAUCAGAAUCAAAGAAACAAGUCUGACCAGAAGACAUUCCAAAUGAUGACGGGGAGAGGAAGACUAUUGGUGUAGUCCACACAGAGAGAAGUCCUGUACUACUUCCUAGUUUGUGAUCUUGGGCAAGUCAUCAAAAUGUUCUGAACUUAAGUUUAGUACCCAUAAAAGCACUACAAUGUUUACCCCACAGGACUGGAUAGUUAAAUGAAGACUUUGACCACUGAUGCAAAUAUGUACUGCAAUAUUUAGGUGUCCUGGAAUUAUUUGAUUAAAAGAAUGGGAAAAAUAGUCUGCUAGCAGCUAUUUAUAUUAAAACAAACGAAGGCACAAAUAGGACUCCAGAGGCGAUGAGUGAAGGCGUGGUCCUGUGCAGAGUCAGUUUCUGAAAAACUCUAUGAAGAUCUGAUUUGGAGAGAGAGACCAAAAUGUGGAAUCCAAAGGGGGAAGACAGCCAUAGAUGAAAAGGAGUCCCACACCAGCGAAUCCAGCAUAAAGGAAGAAGGCUCCUGCAACGGAAAAGAGUACAUAUUUACUCUGGAGUAGUCUCUCUGUGAUCCAUUUCCUGAUACUCGAUCCUCUUCUCUAGUCCUGUCUCCUUGAGUGUGGGAGUGACCUGUGACUUGUUUCUAACAGAACGUGGCUGAAGUGACAGGACGUAUGUGAUUAUGUAAGCUGCUCCACGGAAGUCUCUCACUCCCUUGCUGGCUUUGAAAAAGUAAGCUGGUACGUGAUGGGAUGCCAGUGUUGGGAUGCUCAUGGGAGGGACUGAGAGAAGUCUUUAGGAGCUGGGGGUAGCCUCUGAUUAACAGCAAGAAACUGAAGUUCUUGGUACAAAAGUUACUGAAUUCGGCUAACAAGAUCUUCCUUAGCUGAGCCUCAGAUACAACCACAGCCCAAGUGAACACUCUGUAGCCUUGUGAGACCCUA